Long non-coding RNA from Salvelinus sp. IW2-2015, 579 nucleotides. RefSeq lists it as uncharacterized. The record is from RefSeq and is a predicted model, not a curated record. NCBI's taxonomy places the organism in Eukaryota, Metazoa, Chordata, Actinopteri, Salmoniformes, Salmonidae.
UGAGUAUCCAGUUUUUAAAUCCAUCUCGUACAAAUCUGAAUUAGACAUUUGCCCCAGGAAAGUGCCUACAAAACUUACAAUAAAUUGCAUAUUUUGCUUUACUAUACUCAAUCCACACGAACUGGUCAUACCACCUCGAAGAGAAGCAGCGUGAUUUGCCAUUUAUCAUACUUGAAGGGAACUUUACUAGCUUUGGUUGACAGGCUGGUUCAUCAACCGCAGACAAAUCUAUCCGUAGACCUACUGCAGGUUCACCCCCGCCCGCAGCAUCAAGAACGAGAGGAGACGGUGGGGUAGGCAAGCAUGCCUGACUCAACGUGGCAUUAGCGGUUGGUCUCAUUCUGGAAGCUAUUGCCCUAGCCACAAGUGAGCCCAGACACAUAGAGCCACCAGAGACACCCCAACCUGCCCAGGAUAUUGAAGGAACCUUGAGACAGAUCAUUCAGAUGAACAGUCGGGAGAGGAAAGAACUACAGAGCACAAAGACAAGAAAGGAAAGGGGAGAUACGUAGUCAGUUGUACAACUGAAUGCAUUCAACUGAAAUGUGUCUUCCRCAUUUAACCCAACCCCUCUGAAUC